Regulatory RNA element from Actinomyces massiliensis F0489, 89 nucleotides. It matches the Rfam family "ZMP/ZTP riboswitch aptamer (pfl RNA motif)". Rfam says of the family: Previously known as pfl RNA. Lineage: Bacteria; Bacillati; Actinomycetota; Actinomycetes; Actinomycetales; Actinomycetaceae. The record is from Rfam.
GGGUUCGGCCGCGACUGGCGAGGGUGGGGCACCACCGGGGAGCGGUCACCGAUCAUGAGUAGGGGACGUCGCCCGCCUGGGCGUCCCCG